This 211-nucleotide long non-coding RNA is filed under the name Mytilus galloprovincialis (Mediterranean mussel). Lineage: Eukaryota; Metazoa; Mollusca; Bivalvia; Mytilida; Mytilidae. The record is from RNAcentral.
GAAAUGGGGAAUGUGUCAAAGAGACAACAACCCGACCAAAUAAAAAACAACAGCAGAGGGUCACCAACAGGUCUUCAAUGUAGCGAGAAAUUCCCGCACCCGGAGGCGUCCUUCAACUGGCCCCUGAACAAAUAUAUACUAGUCCAGUGAUAAUGAACGCCAUACUAAUUUCCAAAUUGUACACAAGAAACUAAAAUUAAAAUAAUACAAG